Molecule: long non-coding RNA, 901 nt
Organism: Lycium barbarum (goji berry)
Lineage: Eukaryota; Viridiplantae; Streptophyta; Magnoliopsida; Solanales; Solanaceae
Exons: 3
Source: RefSeq, a predicted model, not a curated record
UCGAAGAAGGAACAGAUAGUGACUAAUGCUUAGUAACAUGUGUUGUUGUAUCUUUAUUGUAUUUUGCUUAAUAUUUGGGUGUAAAAAUUUUCUGAUGGAUGGUUGAGUGUUUUGAUUUGCACCACAGUUUUUCUUUAUUGUUUUCUUUAACCUAUUUUACCACUUUCAUCAUUACUUACUGAAUCUUGUAGUGUACUAUGCGACUAUGUUGUUUGAUAAAUGCCAUUAUAGUUUUAGUUCAACCUUUGAUAGAAUCCUCCUGAUGUUAUUUAUAUUACAGAUACGUAGUGGACAGCUGGUCAGAAUUCAUUGACGUGCUACUCAUUGAAGGUUCUGCAUUUUAGCUGCUGUUGUUGAGUUAUGGCUCGAGGCAGAGGUCGAGGUAGCGGAGGUCGUGUAGGAAAGUCCUCAUUAAGGUGUGAUUCUACUGGUCGUGCAAACAUGCCUACCAUUCCCAUUCCCACCACAGUUAGUCCUAACAAGGUGAUACGAGUUUCAUAGGUGGGCCAGAUCCUAUAAACCAAGUUCAAACUUUACGUACGCCACCGGUUCAAGCCUCAGAUAUCGCUCGAGGAAAAGGUCGAGGUAGCGAAGGUCGUGUAGGAAAGUCCUCACUUGGGGGUGAUUCUGCUCGUCAUGCAAACAUGCCUACUAUUCCUAUUCCCACCACAGUUAGUCCUCAACAAGGUGGUACGAGUUCCAUAGGUGGGCCAGAUCCUAUAAACCAUGUUCAAACUUUAGGUACGCCACCGGUUCAAGCGUCAGAUCACGGUAGUAACCCAACCAUCCCUGAAUUAUCUCCCAUUACACCUGAUCUGAGCAGCCCAGUAGAUGAGGGUACAUCAAACCAUAGCAACACUGUCAGCGAAGAAGAGUCCAGUAGUCGUUGUAGGCAGCGGAC